Molecule: ribosomal RNA, 404 nt
Filed under: uncultured bacterium
Lineage: Bacteria
Description: bacterial SSU rRNA
Rfam family: Bacterial small subunit ribosomal RNA
Source: RNAcentral
UUGGGAAUCUUGCGCAAUGGGCGAAAGCCUGACGCAGCGACACCGCGUGGAGGAUGAAGGUUUUCGGAUCGUAAACUCCUUUUACUAGGGAAUAAUCAUUGAAGGUACCUAGUGAAUAAGCACCGGCUAACUCCGUGCCAGCAGCCGCGGUAAUACGGAGGGUGCUAACGUUAUCCGGAAUCACUGGGCGUAAAGAGCAUGUAGGCGGUUUGGCCAGUGGACGAUUAAAGACCGCCGCUUAACGGCGGGAGUGUUUUCCAUACUACCAGACUAGAGAAUGACAGGGGCAAGUGGAACUUUAGGUGUAGGAGUGAAAUCCGUAGAUAUCUAAAGGAACACCAAUGGCGAAGGCAGCUUGCUGGGUCAUUUCUGACGCUGAGAUGCGAAAGCGUGGGGAGCAAACG